Molecule: transfer RNA, 109 nt
Filed under: Rhodotorula graminis WP1
Lineage: Eukaryota; Fungi; Basidiomycota; Microbotryomycetes; Sporidiobolales; Sporidiobolaceae
Description: tRNA-Pro
Source: RNAcentral
GCCUAAUUGGUCUAGUCGCAUGAUACCUCAUUCGGGGCACUAAGCCUCGGCCUGCAGAAAUGCGGCCUGAACAUUGAGGUGGUCCUCGGUUCAAUUCCGGGAUUGGGCC